GAGGAAUAUUGGUCAAUGGACGGAAGUCUGAACCAGCCAAGUAGCGUGCAGGAUGACGGCCCUAUGGGUUGUAAACUGCUUUUGUAUGGGGAUAAAGUUAGGGACGUGUCCCUAUUUGCAGGUACCAUACGAAUAAGGACCGGCUAAUUCCGUGCCAGCAGCCGCGGUAAUACGGAAGGUCCAGGCGUUAUCCGGAUUUAUUGGGUUUAAAGGGAGCGUAGGCUGGAGAUUAAGUGUGUUGUGAAAUGUAGACGCUCAACGUCUGACUUGCAGCGCAUACUGGUUUCCUUGAGUACGCACAACGUUGGCGGAAUUCGUCGUGUAGCGGUGAAAUGCUUAGAUAUGACGAAGAACUCCGAUUGCGAAGGCAGCUGACGGGAGCGCAACUGACGCUUAAGCUCGAAGGUGCGGGUAUCAAACAGGAUUAGAUACCCUGGUAGUCCGCACAGUAAACGAUGGAUGCCCGCUGUUGGUACCUGGUAUCAGCGGCUAAGCGAAAGCAUUAAGCAUCCCACCUGGGGAGUACGCCGGCAACGGUG
RNAcentral lists this ribosomal RNA (539 nucleotides) under uncultured bacterium. Its description in RNAcentral is "bacterial SSU rRNA". It matches the Rfam family "Bacterial small subunit ribosomal RNA", at positions 356 to 896 of the family's 1533-position model. The record is from RNAcentral.